Molecule: ribosomal RNA, 499 nt
Filed under: uncultured bacterium
Lineage: Bacteria
Description: bacterial SSU rRNA
Rfam family: Bacterial small subunit ribosomal RNA
Source: RNAcentral
UGGACGCAAGUCUGAACCAGCCAUNCCGCGUGGAGGAUUAAGGCCCUUNUGGGUUGUAAACUCCUUUUAUCUGGGAAGAACUCCACGUUUUCUAAUGUGGUNGACGGUCCCAGAGGAAUAAGCACCGGCUAACUCCGUGCCAGCAGCCGCGGUAAUACGGAGGGUGCAAGCGUUAUCCGGAUUCACUGGGUUUAAAGGGUGCGUAGGCGGGCAGGUAAGUCCGUGGUGAAAUCUCUGAGCUUAACUCAGAAACUGCCAUGGAUACUAUUUGUCUUGAAUAUUGUGGAGGUAAGCGGAAUAUGUCAUGUAGCGGUGAAAUGCUUAGAUAUGACAUAGANCACCAAUUGNGAAGGCAGCUUACUACACAGUUAUUGACGNUGAGGCACGAAAGCGUGGGGAUCAAACAGGAUUAGAUACCCUGGUAGUCCACGCCCUAANCGAUGAUUNCUCGACAUCAGCGAUACACUGUUGGUGUCUGAGCGAAAGCAUUAAGUAAUCC